UACGUAGGUGGCAAGCGUUGUCCGGAUUUAUUGGGUUUAAAGGGUGCGUAGGCGGCUUUGUAAGUCAGUGGUGAAAUAUGGCAGCUUAACUGUCAGGGUGCCAUUGAUACUGCGGAGCUUGAGUACAGAUGAGGUAGGCGGAAUUGACGGUGUAGCGGUGAAAUGCUUAGAUAUCGUCAAGAACACCUAUAGCGAAGGCAGCUUACUAGGCUGUAACUGACGCUGAGGCGCGAAAGCCAGGGGAGCAAACGGG
This 253-nucleotide ribosomal RNA is filed under the name uncultured bacterium. RNAcentral describes it as "partial 16S ribosomal RNA". It matches the Rfam family "Bacterial small subunit ribosomal RNA", at positions 524 to 776 of the family's 1533-position model. The record is from RNAcentral.